CAUGGAGAGAAAAAGAGGAGAAAAUCCUCUCAAGAACAAGGAUGCAAUGUAGCUAAAUCAAGGUCCAAAUCGAAUGAAAAACGUUGCAUGAAUGAAGAUUUCUCAUCAUCUAGCCUUAAUAAACAUGUGGGUAUUGAUGAGUUAGAUGGAAACCCAUCUACGGGGGUGAGGGUGGCGACAUGGGUAUACUACCUAUGUCCAAGUCUUGUUGAAUACAUGAUUUAUUAUUAUGUGGUAUCAGUGAUUCUUGAUAGAAUGAAUGACUGUGAUAUGAGGGAAUACUUGUUUGUUGGUUGAAUAUGAUGAAAGGAAGUAUGCAUUAGGAAGAUUAUAGAGGAAAGGCUUGUAAAUAGGGUUGGAUUUGUGGCCGCGCGUCAAGUGUUCGAUGAAAUGCCAAGUAUAGAUUAUUAGGUGAAAUUGUAUACAAGAACCUACCUAAAUGAAUAGAAUGUUUUGAUUA
Helianthus annuus (common sunflower) is the source of this 460-nucleotide long non-coding RNA. RefSeq lists it as uncharacterized. The transcript has 2 exons. The record is from RefSeq and is a predicted model, not a curated record. NCBI's taxonomy places the organism in Eukaryota, Viridiplantae, Streptophyta, Magnoliopsida, Asterales, Asteraceae.